RNAcentral lists this ribosomal RNA (442 nucleotides) under uncultured bacterium. RNAcentral describes it as "partial 16S ribosomal RNA". It matches the Rfam family "Bacterial small subunit ribosomal RNA", at positions 338 to 795 of the family's 1533-position model. The record is from RNAcentral.
CCUACGGGUGGCAGCAGUGGGGAAUAUUGGGCAAUGGGCGCAAGCCUGACCCAGCAACGCCGCGUGAAGGAAGAAGGCUUUCGGGUUGUAAACUUCUUUUGACAGGGAAGAGUAGAGUGCGGUAACUGUCGGAUAAGCCACGGCUAACUACGGGCCAGCAGCCGCGGUAAUACGUAGGGGGCAAGCGUUAUCCGGAUUUACUGGGUGUAAAGGGAGCGUAGACGGGAGUGCAAGUCUGGAGUGAAAGGCGGGGGCUCAACCCCCGGACUGCUCUUGAAACUGUAGGGCUGGAGUGCAGGAGAGGGAAGUGGAAUUCCGAGUGUAGCGGUGAAAUGCGUAGAUAUUAGGAGGAACACCAGUGGCGAAGGCGGCUUACUGGACUGUAACUGACGUUGAGGCGCGAAAGCGUGGGGAGCAAACAGGAUUAGAUACCCCGGUAGUC